CUUAAACAACCAAAAAGUACAUGAGCCUCUUCCUUCAAAUGUCAGAAUGCCAUUUAGCCUGACAGCGUUCUCAUUAUUAUGCACUGAGAGCUUCUCUAACCCAACCUGUCAAAAAUUUCUAACAGACAGGAGCCUCAUCAACUUGGAGCCAAUGUCUCAGUCUUGUGUCAGGGUUUAGAAGCUUUCAGUGAGGUAAGGGGAGAGAGGCCUGCUUGGAUGUCCUUUGAUACCAGGAGUCCCCUGGGGAUUCCUUCCCAUCAUGUCCUGGAAGAGGAAGAAGCCAGGCUAACGUGGGUGGAAGGUUAGAGAGACACCUUCAAGUGACUGCUUUGGAGAUGACCCCAGAUCUGCAGUCAUUUCAGAGACAGAACAAAGGCAGUCCAGAGAGAGAGCUUCUGGGGGCAGCUGCGACCUCACUGGGAUCAACUGGGAUUCUGGGGCCAGUUAAGUCCGUUUUCCACGUUGACUCUUCCAGAACCAGAAAUGUGCACACUGAACCCACUCCUGCUGAAGAAGACUGCUGUGACUGAUGCAGAUAUGCUAACAGGCACAGGAAAAGGAUCCAGAUUCCUUUGGCCAUGCUCCUGAAAUCCACUGCCUUCAAAAGCCCACAAAACUGCCCUUACGAAGCAGUCGCAGCAGUUCAGAGACCAUGCCCACCCCACACCUCCCUGCAAGCCUGGCCUCUUCACGGACCUAGGCCAUCCCGACCUUCAGGGAAUGUGGUAAUAGAGUCUAUGGCCCGCCUGUGGGGACUGGUGACCUCCAGAUGUGCAUGCUUCAAAAGAAUUACUAGAAGACAAAAGUGAAAAAGAGAAACUCAGGCAUCUUGCAUGUUUGCUAAAUAAAUCAAUAAGCAAAUAAAUGAUUGAGUGAAAGAGUGGGCUCUGCAAUGUGAUGGUGGAGCAGGAUUUAAACGGUGGAAACAGAGAGGGUCACUUCUCCACAAAAUAGCACCAUGGAGUUUUUCUUGUUUUUUUGCUUUUUUUUUUUUUUUU
RNAcentral lists this long non-coding RNA (998 nucleotides) under Homo sapiens (human). Its description in RNAcentral is "HSALNT0331892". Lineage: Eukaryota; Metazoa; Chordata; Mammalia; Primates; Hominidae. The record is from RNAcentral.